AUCUAUUUAGUAUAUUAAGUACAAUUGACUUCCAAUCAAAAAGAUUGAUAAUAAUCAAAAUAAAUA
This 66-nucleotide transfer RNA is filed under the name Cyphoderris monstrosa. Its description in RNAcentral is "tRNA-Gly". The record is from RNAcentral. Lineage: Eukaryota; Metazoa; Arthropoda; Insecta; Orthoptera; Prophalangopsidae.